UCUCACACUACCCAUAAGACCUCUCUCCUCUUAGAGAGAGGUCUUAUGGGUAGUGAGUGGGU
Molecule: microRNA precursor, 62 nt
Filed under: Xyrichtys novacula (pearly razorfish)
Lineage: Eukaryota; Metazoa; Chordata; Actinopteri; Labriformes; Labridae
Source: RNAcentral